Molecule: non-coding RNA, 357 nt
Organism: Vicia faba (fava bean)
Lineage: Eukaryota; Viridiplantae; Streptophyta; Magnoliopsida; Fabales; Fabaceae
Source: the annotation of a GenBank genome assembly
AUGAAUUGUCGGAUCUUGUUUUCAAGGAAGAGGAAAAGGACAACCAUCAACAUUGUAAGCAACAUCGACAUCACCAUAGACCACCGUUUACAACCUCCCAGAUUAGAACUCGAAUCCACUCCGACCCGGCUGCACGUGCGACAGGACCACUGUCCAUCACCUCCAUCACCAUCGCGAGCCGUUGGUGAACCACCUAUGGAACCUCAACGAACGGGUACCACAAUCACACGCAAAUAUAUAUCAAGCCGCUCCAAAUUGCAAACAUAUGCCACUGCUCAAAUUUACCGCAACUCUCGAGUUUGUUUUGUUGCAUUAUUUGUUGAUUUUAAUUCACAGAUGUGUUGGUUUGAUGACUGA